CCUACGGGAGGCAGCAGUGGGGGAUAUUGCACAAUGGGGGAAACCCUGAUGCAGCGACGCCGCGUGGGCGAAGAAGUAUUUCGGUAUGUAAAGCCCUAUCAGCAGGGAAGAAGAAAUGACGGUACCUGAGUAAGAAGCACCGGCUAAAUACGUGCCAGCAGCCGCGGUAAUACGGAUGGUGCAAGCGUUAUCCGGGUUUACUGGGUGUAAAGGGGGGGCAGGGGGCACUGCAAGCCUGAUGUGAAAGCCUGCGGCCCAACCGCGGGCCUGCCGUGGGAACUGCCGGGCUGGAGUGGCGGAGAGGUAUGCGGAAUGCCUGGUGUAGCGGUGAAAUGCGUAGAUAUUAGGCGGAACGCCAGUGGCGAAGGCGGCCUACUGGAGGGUGACUGACGCUGAGGCUCGAAAGCGUGGGGAGCAAACAGGAUUAGAUACCCUGGUAGUC
This 442-nucleotide ribosomal RNA is filed under the name uncultured bacterium. RNAcentral's name for it is "partial 16S ribosomal RNA". It matches the Rfam family "Bacterial small subunit ribosomal RNA", at positions 338 to 795 of the family's 1533-position model. The record is from RNAcentral.